GACGAACGCUGGCGGCGUGCUUAAUACAUGCAAGUCGAACGGAAAGGCCCUGCUUUUGUGGGGUGCUCGAGUGGCGAACGGGUGAGUAACACGUGAGUAACCUGCCCCUGACUUUGGGAUAACUCCAGGAAACUGGGGCUAAUACCGGAUAGGAGCUCUUGCUGCAUGGUGGGGGUUGGAAAGUUUCGGCGGUUGGGGAUGGACUCGCGGCUUAUCAGCUUGUUGGUGGGGUAGUGGCUUACCAAGGCUUUGACGGGUAGCCGGCCUGAGAGGGUGACCGGCCACAUUGGGACUGAGAUACGGCCCAGACUCCUACGGGAGGCAGCAGUGGGGAAUAUUGCACAAUGGGCGGAAGCCUGAUGCAGCAACGCCGCGUGCGGGAUGACGGCCUUCGGGUUGUAAACCGCUUUCGCCUGUGACGAAGCGUGAGUGACGGUAAUGGGUAAAGAAGCACCGGCUAACUACGUG
RNAcentral lists this ribosomal RNA (468 nucleotides) under uncultured bacterium. Its description in RNAcentral is "partial 16S ribosomal RNA". It matches the Rfam family "Bacterial small subunit ribosomal RNA", at positions 28 to 507 of the family's 1533-position model. The record is from RNAcentral.